This is a non-coding RNA of Misgurnus anguillicaudatus (oriental weatherfish), 1033 nucleotides long. Lineage: Eukaryota; Metazoa; Chordata; Actinopteri; Cypriniformes; Cobitidae. The record is from RefSeq and is a predicted model, not a curated record.
GAGUUUAGUCAAAAAAACUGACAUCAAACUGACAUGUUUUACUGACAUCAUUAAAGCAGGAAAUAGAGGGCUGUAGUCCAAACCGGCCGUUCUCUGUAGGCUUUGAAAGGGGAAUUCUGUAAAAGAAAAUAUAUCGCCUGGCAGUCAACUUUGAGCUUUAUCAUUUUACAGGUAUUAUUUAUGCUAUUAUAGCAACAUUACACACUAACUAGGGUUUAAAAAUGGGAUCAGAAACAACGUGAAUAUUGUUAGCUUACAGACUCACAAUAACAAAAUAGUUUCUGUUCCUCUAACUGAUAUUAACUUUGUUUUAAUUUUCUUUUUAGUGUCUUAUUAUAUUUUCAGUGUAGUGAUGUGGUACGAUCACUUGGUCUCACUCUACCACGGUCAGAGGCUAUCGACUGGGCAAAGCUUUUUCAAAUAUUUCACAAGACAGAUUUGGAUGCCUUCACGUCUGCCAUCCAUUCUCUGCCUAAAGUUAAAACACUGGAACUAAAUGUUAAAUUUCUGAAUGAAAGCAUAUCUCUUUGGAGUCUCUCCAUCUGCCAGAAUGUCUCCAGUCUAACAGAACUCAAGAUAAAUGCUGAUUUUUUACUGGAGGAGGGAAUUGAGAUCUUGCAAAGGUCACACACAAGGCCAAACUGCACUUUGACAUUUAAAGGGUUAAGAUGCAACAAGCCAUCUCAAAAAUGCACACUGCUUAGAUGGUUUGGCCCUGAACUGAGCUGCAACCAACAUGUGGUGAUUUCUGUGAAUUGUCAGGGUUUUACUGAGAAGACUUUGAGAAGGUAAAUUAGUCUUAUCUAAGAUUUUGAUGGUUUCAGUAACAAUAAGAACUGUGAUAUGCCAUUAGCAAACAAAGAUUUACUGUUAUUAGUAACUGUGCACAAUUCUACAUGAAGGAAUUUGCUUUUGUAUUUGUAUUAAGGCACUUAUACAGUACAGUAUAGAUUUACACUAAUUAUUAUGGCUACAGUGCUUUGUCUUGAUUAUAAAUUAAUCUCUCUCUCUCUCUCUCUCUCUCUCUCUCUCU